GACGAACGCUGGCGGCGUGCUUAACACAUGCAAGUCGAACGGAAAGGCCUUUUCGGAGGUACUCGAGUGGCGAACGGGUGAGUAACACGUGGGUGAUCUGCCCUGCACUCUGGGAUAAGCCUGGGAAACUGGGUCUAAUACCGGAUAGGACCGCACUUUAGUGUGUGUGGUGGAAAGUUUUUUCGGUGUAGGAUGAGCCCGCGGCCUAUCAGCUCGUUGGUGGGGUAAUGGCCUACCAAGGCGGCGACGGGUAGCCGGACUGAGAGGUUGGUCGGCCACAUUGGGACUGAGAUACGGCCCAGACUCCUACGGGAGGCAGCAGUGGGGAAUAUUGCACAAUGGGCGCAAGCCUGAUGCAGCGACGCCGCGUGGGGGAUGACGGCCUUCGGGUUGUAAACUCCUUUCGCCAGGGACGAAGCGUUUUGUGACGGUACCUGGAGAAGAAGCACCGGCUAACUACGUG
Molecule: ribosomal RNA, 463 nt
Filed under: uncultured bacterium
Lineage: Bacteria
Description: partial 16S ribosomal RNA
Rfam family: Bacterial small subunit ribosomal RNA
Source: RNAcentral